GGAACUGGGAAGUCCAAGUGAAAGUGCCUGCCAUAGACAAACACCAAACGCACCUGAGUUAAGGUAGCUUUGCAAUUCACUUUCCCUGUGCUGGGUUGAUCUCCCUUCAUUACAAAUCUUUGCUUUCCUCCACAUUUUUGUCCAUGAAUCCUGCUUUUUGAAGCAUCUGCAAUUUGGGGAAGUUAAAAGGAACUACAUUUCCUUCAGGUCAAGAAAAAAACAGAUGCCUUCAGAAAUAGCUGGAUCAGAAGUUAAUGAAAACCAUUUUCUUCAGCCACUUUCCCAGCAUCAACAAGUCAGCCAAUCCCUCAAGAAAGAACCUC
Molecule: long non-coding RNA, 323 nt
Organism: Choloepus didactylus (southern two-toed sloth)
Lineage: Eukaryota; Metazoa; Chordata; Mammalia; Pilosa; Megalonychidae
Exons: 3
Source: RefSeq, a predicted model, not a curated record